CCUACGGGUGGCAGCAGUGAGGAAUAUUGGUCAAUGGACGAGAGUCUGAACCAGCCAAGUAGCGUGAAGGAUGACUGCCCUAUGGGUUGUAAACUUCUUUUAUAUGGGAAUAAAAUGUUCCACGUGUGGGAUUUUGUAUGUACCAUAUGAAUAAGGAUCGGCUAACUCCGUGCCAGCAGCCGCGGUAAUACGGAGGAUCCGAGCGUUAUCCGGAUUUAUUGGGUUUAAAGGGAGCGUAGGUGGAUUGUUAAGUCAGUUGUGAAAGUUUGCGGCUCAACCGUAAAAUUGCAGUUGAAACUGGCAGUCUUGAGUACAGUUGAGGUAGGCGGAAUGCGUGGUGUAGCGGUGAAAUGCUUAGAUAUCACGAAGAACUCCGAUUGCGAAGGCAGUUCACUAGACUGCAACUGACACUGAGGCUCGAAAGUGUGGGUAUCAAACAGGAUUAGAUACCCCAGUAGUC
This 460-nucleotide ribosomal RNA is filed under the name uncultured bacterium. Its description in RNAcentral is "partial 16S ribosomal RNA". It matches the Rfam family "Bacterial small subunit ribosomal RNA", at positions 338 to 795 of the family's 1533-position model. The record is from RNAcentral.